RNAcentral lists this small nuclear RNA (106 nucleotides) under Chelonia mydas (Green sea turtle). The record is from RNAcentral. Lineage: Eukaryota; Metazoa; Chordata; Testudines; Cheloniidae.
GCGAAUAUUCGGCAGCACAUAUACUAAAACUGGAAUGAUACAGAGAAGAUUAGCAUGGCCCCUCUGCAAGGAUGACACGCAAAUUCGUGAAGCAUUCCAUAUUUUU